This 497-nucleotide ribosomal RNA is filed under the name uncultured bacterium. RNAcentral describes it as "partial 16S ribosomal RNA". It matches the Rfam family "Bacterial small subunit ribosomal RNA", at positions 28 to 507 of the family's 1533-position model. The record is from RNAcentral.
GAUGAACGCUGGCGGCGUGCCUAAUCCAUGCAAGUCGAGCGAACGGACGAGAAGCUUGCUUCUCUGAUGUUAGCGGCGGACGGGUGAGUAACACGUGGAUAACCUACCUAUAAGACUGGGAUAACUUCGGGAAACCGGAGCUAAUACCGGAUAAUAUUUUGAACCGCAUGGUUCAAAAGUUAAAGACGGUCUUUCUGUCACUUAUAGAUGGAUCCGCGCUGCAUUAGCUAGUUGGUAAGGUAACGGCUUACCAAGGCAACGAUGCAUAGCCGACCUGAGAGGGUGAUCGGCCACACUGGAACUGAGACACGGUCCAGACUCCUACGGGAGGCAGCAGUAGGGAAUCUUCCGCAAUGGGCGAAAGCCUGACGGAGCAACGCCGCGUGAGUGAUGAAGGUCUUCGGAUCGUAAAACUCUGUUAUUAGGGAAGAACAGAUGUGUAAGUAACUGUGCACAUCGUGACGGUACCUAAUCAGAAAGCCACGGCUAACUACGUG